GUCUAAGCCAGGUCGAAUUCCUAUAGAAGAGAUGCAUGAAACAACAAAUUGCAUUGAACAUCAAAGACUUAAUGAUCUUGCUUUUGUUCAGUACAACAUGUGGCUGAGGCAAAGGAAGAACCAGGAGCCGGAUUGUAUGGACUCCAUUUCCUAUGAAAAAAUGGAACUUGUCCAUAAUUGGGUUUCCAGGAGGGAACAAAUGUCGGAGGACUUGGAAAGUUCAGACUGGAUGGCCGUUGACCCUCCUUUGGGAAGCAUAGCUCCCUUAGGUCCAUUAAUUGAUGAUAUUGAAGCCUUAGGCACAGGUUUUGAUGAUUUUGAAAUUUUUGGUGGACCAAAAGAUAGUGAAGAAGAGA
This 356-nucleotide unclassified non-coding RNA is filed under the name Hevea brasiliensis (rubber tree). Lineage: Eukaryota; Viridiplantae; Streptophyta; Magnoliopsida; Malpighiales; Euphorbiaceae. The record is from RNAcentral.